GUGGAAUGGGAGGAUCAAGAAACCCACUUCCUUGUCCUCAGCUAGACCGCAAAUAUCUUCAUGCAUGGUGGCAUAUGGGGACAGUGCAGUUAGAGGGUGGAUAGUGACAAGCUCAUUUAGAUUGGCAUAAGUCUGGAGAGAAUUAAUUAUUUGCUCUGAAUACGCGUUUCUGCGGCUACUGCUGCUCUUGUUGGGGUUGUGGAC
RNAcentral lists this unclassified non-coding RNA (204 nucleotides) under Hevea brasiliensis (rubber tree). Lineage: Eukaryota; Viridiplantae; Streptophyta; Magnoliopsida; Malpighiales; Euphorbiaceae. The record is from RNAcentral.